AUGAUGAAACAUGUAUUACUAUCUAUAGUGUUGUUGUUAGGGCAAUGUUCCAUUUUUUCUUUAGUAUUUGCCGAUACGCCCGCAGAAGUUGACAAAUUAAAUGGUUUAUUUGCAGAAGAUGAUCCAACUAAAAAAGAUGUAUUAGAUUUAAUAAAUGGUAUAUUCGAAAAUAACAAGGGAGCAAUGCAAUACUCUGUUGAAAAUGAUCAACACAAAUGUGCUUUAACUAAAUUGAAUGUUAUUUUUAAAAAUAAAUCUAAAGGUAUGAGAGCAUUAUUUGAUAAAAAAAAUGAAGAUUUAUUAACACAGGCUAUAUCAUUAUAUAAUUUAAAAUUUAACAUUGCUUUACAAACUGCAUCCUUAGAAAGUUUAAUCGUACCACAUAAAAAAAGAAGCUUCCAAUAUACGUUCGCUCAUUUUAUUCAUCAUUUAAGAAGAGCUUUUUUUAAUGUAAAAUGUCAUAGAAAUGAAAAAGACGCUAGUAAACUAGAAGGUGCUACCAGUGAAGAUACUACCAAUGAAGAUGCUAAUGAUGAAGAAAAUGAAAUUAAUAACGCUAGUCAAGUAGAACCAAAAUAUACUGAUGAUAUAUUAGAUAUGGAUAGUAUGAUUGAAAAUGACUUUUCUGAGGAAGUAAAAGAUAAUCAAAAAAUAGAAGAAAAUAUGUUAGCUGAUUUAAAAAAUUUAAACACUAUGCUCAAUUAUAUGUAUUCAACACAAAGUGUUUCUGGACUACUAAACAACAAUGAAGUAUUAUUCGAAAAAGAAGAACACCUUGUUAAUGGAUAUGACGACUGUGAUGAAUACCCUACAAAUUACGACAAUCUUACUCUAGAUAAAUGUAUGGAGAUAUUAUUAAAACAUAGCAGCAUAGACAUUAAUGGAUAUUGUGAAGAUAAACAAACACAGAUUAUCAAUGAUACCAAAAAAAAUGCUAUUAAAAAUACAAACGAUACUAAAACUUUAGACAGUGAAAUUCCAAGCACAAGUAACAAUACCAUGACUCAAACUGAUGAUAAAGCUGUUACAACAACCAGUUCUGAUGAACCAUCAAAUAAAAACGAAAUUAUUUAUUUCAGUUUUAUAAUAAGUAAAAGAAAUAUG
Molecule: long non-coding RNA, 1104 nt
Filed under: Piliocolobus tephrosceles (Ugandan red Colobus)
Lineage: Eukaryota; Metazoa; Chordata; Mammalia; Primates; Cercopithecidae
Description: lncRNA (ENSPTEG00000014790.1)
Source: RNAcentral